This 66-nucleotide transfer RNA is filed under the name Marmota monax (woodchuck). RNAcentral's name for it is "tRNA.Ser". Lineage: Eukaryota; Metazoa; Chordata; Mammalia; Rodentia; Sciuridae. The record is from RNAcentral.
GGAUGUGGCUCAGUGGUAGACUGCUUACCUGGAAAGCAUGAGGCCCUGGGUUCAAUCCCCAGUCCA